Molecule: ribosomal RNA, 403 nt
Filed under: uncultured bacterium
Lineage: Bacteria
Description: bacterial SSU rRNA
Rfam family: Bacterial small subunit ribosomal RNA
Source: RNAcentral
UAGGGAAUAUUGCAAAAUGGGCGAAAGCCCGAUGCAGCAACGCCGCGUGGGCGAUGAAGGCCUUCGGGUCGUAAAGCCCUUUUUGAGGGGAUGAGGAAGGACAGUACCCUCAGAAUAAGCCUCGGCUAACUACGUGCCAGCAGCCGCGGUAAAACGUAGGAGGCGAGCGUUAUCCGGAUUUACUGGGCGUAAAGCGCGUGCAGGCGGAUUGGAGAGUUGGAUGUGAAAGCUCCCGGCUUAACUGGGAGAGGUCGUUCAAUACUUCCAGUCUUGAGUGCAGUAGAGGGAAGUGGAAUUCCGGGUGUAGUGGUGAAAUACGCAGAUAUCUGGAAGAACACCAGUUGCGAAGGCGGUCUCUUGGUCCGAUACUGACGCUGAGGCGCGAAAGCGUGGGGAGCAAACA